GCUGUAGGGUCCACCGGUGUCACACUUUCAUCCUAAAAACAUUUCCGGACAAGUACUGGAUAUAUUAGACCACAAUUUUAAUGAAUUGCUUAAUCUAAUUAACGGAGAUUCUAGAAAGUUAACUUAAAUAAUUAGUGUAUCAAAUGAUACUGAAAGUAUCAGACAUUAAAAAAAUUUAUUUCUUUUAAAUAACUAAAGAAAAUACUUAUAGGCCGUUAUUCAUAGUCACCUUAGAUGCUAAAUAACAUGGGUAAGGUAAUCUUAAGGUAGUUGUUUCGAGAUAGUAAUGUUCAAAAGUCUAGCUUACUGGAUUAAAAAAAUAACAUAACUAAAGCUGUUAGUUGAACGCCGCUCAUUGAAAAAUUUUGUAAAAGAACAGUCAUAUUGCUCCCACAUACAUUCAAGUAUGUAUCAAUACGUUUAUAUACACAUACAUCCAUAAUAUUCGAGAAGUGAUCGUAGCAACGACGUUCAUUGUUCUUGCGCACGUUUUUUGCGUUUUGUGAUAUUUAUUAUUAUAGUCAUAAGACAUAACCAAAAUAACCAUCAAAAUAAACAGAGUUGUUAAUUAUCAAAUUAAUAGAAGUGUCAAAACGUUUAUGUUAUUAAAAUCAAUUUAUAAAAACAAGUGUUAAUAAAUAAACUAAAGCAAGCGGCUAAUAUAACUCGAGGAAGAAUUGAACGUUGAUUUUUUCCAGCUUUCCUCAACAUCUUGUCUUCAAUAUUUACAAAUAUUUAAUUGAAUUAAUACAUUAAUUAAAUUCUUUUUAUUAAUAAUAGAAUAAUUAAUUAAUUUUAUUUAUUGUAUCAUGUUUACCAGAAGUAACAACAUUCAAUAUGACUUGCAUCAAUAAUCGUAAAUGAACCGAAAUUAAUCAUGGCGAAAAUAUUAAAUGGUUACAACAGAAAUAUUAUCAAAAUGUCCCGAGAAAACUCUUACGAGAUAGUCCGAGAGCUGCUGAACAAUUUUGGGACUUCAACUUAAAAACUGAGUGGCAUUAUUUCGCACCAGUACAUGGUAAGGGGCUAUGUGAUGGUAGCUGAGGAACGGUUCACAGAAAAGCAGCGAGAGCAAGCCUUCAACGGCCAAUUGGCGACCAAAUAAUAACAGUACAAGAGUUGUAAAAGAAAGAUUAGAUUUGCGAUACAAUACAGCUAAAACCAUUACAGGAACUCAAAAAUUUCAUACAAUUAUUCCAAAAAGCGACGGAGCUAUAUUAAAUAAAGAGUACUCUAGUUCACAAAACAAACUGUUUGUAAAAUAUGUAAAAUUUUUAAAAGAACACGAAAGUAAAUAAAAAUGUUUGUUAUAAUUGCUCAUAAAUAGAAUGAACACAUUACUUUUACGUAGCAAACGUACAAUUAUAAGUCCAAUGUUUUUUUUAUAUACAUCGGAAUUAUUUCUAUGUUAGCAUAUUAAAAAUUCCUAUGCGAACAAAAGAAAUAUUACUGUAUAACACAGGAAAAUUACCUGUUUUUUUCUCCUUGUAACAUGUUUCAAUCACGUAA
Long non-coding RNA from Microplitis demolitor, 1509 nucleotides. RefSeq lists it as uncharacterized. The record is from RefSeq and is a predicted model, not a curated record. The transcript has 3 exons. Lineage: Eukaryota; Metazoa; Arthropoda; Insecta; Hymenoptera; Braconidae.